UUCGGUAUCCUGUGUUGCUUACCUAUUGAAAGGAAUCMGACGGUCUCAUUCGUCCCUCUCUGCCCCCAGCCCUCGUGGGUUACGGGGUGGACAUCAGGCACGCCCCAUGUUCUCGGUAAGCCUCGCCCAAUUGCUUGGCUGCCUCGGCCGAAGGUAUGCUAUGCUCUUUCUCUCGGACGCAGAACAUUAUAGGCAGGCGUGAGGUCUGUCAACUCUAUUUGCACGAGCAAAGUAACUGUCCCUUGAUACGAACGACUGCCAGGCACGUAUUAAGCCGACGGCCUCACGGCCCAUCGAGUGUCAUGUGGACAUCGGCAUC
RNAcentral lists this unclassified non-coding RNA (319 nucleotides) under Commiphora engleri. RNAcentral's name for it is "partial external transcribed spacer". Lineage: Eukaryota; Viridiplantae; Streptophyta; Magnoliopsida; Sapindales; Burseraceae. The record is from RNAcentral.